RNAcentral lists this ribosomal RNA (120 nucleotides) under Lupinus albus (white lupine). Lineage: Eukaryota; Viridiplantae; Streptophyta; Magnoliopsida; Fabales; Fabaceae. The record is from RNAcentral.
AGGUGCGAUCAUACCAGCACUAAUGCACUGGAUCCCAUCAGAACUCCGCAGUUAAGCGUGAUUGGGCAAGAGUAGUACUAGGAUGGGUGACCUCCUGGGAAGUCCUCGUGUUGCACCUCU